UUAGGUAGUAUGCUGGUAAAGCGUUUGUCAAUUUUUUUUAUAGCGUGUCCAGAUAAUUUAGAUGUAAAUGUCCUACAACUAUGUAAAAUCUCAGUGCCUGCAUUUCUGACUUAUGGGUAAAUAAACUGUUUUAUAUAAGUUUGAGCUCUGGUAAUUUUAGAAAACCUUUGGUUGUCCGAAGAAUCGGUCGGCUUUGUGACAAGAUCGUGCAGCCCAGAAUCACGAAAGAAGCUCAACCAAGUCCAAGUUACCAGCUCAACAAAUCCUAACCAUGGAAAUCAAGGAUAAUUGGAAUCACAAAGCUGGUUACAGACUUCGUCUGUCAACCCAGGAUGUUCCCUCUCAAGCUAUCUGCGUGUUCACCUGAAAGGGGCGGCGUUUGCAACGACGAGUUCCUCACACGAUAUUACGGGGAGAGGCAAGAGCAAUGCCUUUCCCUUUCAGGAAGCGAGUCAUUCUCAUGUCAAAAGAUGACGAGCAAUGAAAAUUGCAGACCUUGUCAAUGCUUCAAGGGAGUCCCAUGUCGCUUUCUGAGCUGCCAACACGAAUGCCAUCAAAUCCACAGACGAAGCUAAUUUGUGGUGAGAAUUCUAUUGCAAAAUGGCUGCCAUGCAUCACCCAGGUGGGUGCUACACAUCGG
This is a long non-coding RNA of Anguilla anguilla (European eel), 640 nucleotides long. RefSeq lists it as uncharacterized. The record is from RefSeq and is a predicted model, not a curated record. The transcript has 3 exons. NCBI's taxonomy places the organism in Eukaryota, Metazoa, Chordata, Actinopteri, Anguilliformes, Anguillidae.